GCAAUAAACACACAAUUAAAGUGAAAUUAAGAAAUAAUGAUCACACAAGGACAUUAAAAUUUACAUGGUUCGACUUUUAGCCUAUAUCCACGGAUAAAAAUAGAAUGAAAUAUUUUACUAGUGAAAAUAAAUUACAAGUAUUGUAGUAUUUUGUCUCACAACCCAAAACCCCAAUACACUCAAACUCUAAAAAACACUAGAACUAGAGCUAAAAGCUCUCAACACUCUCAACUUACACCUCUUUACUCUCUCA
RNAcentral lists this long non-coding RNA (253 nucleotides) under Citrus sinensis (sweet orange). RNAcentral describes it as "long non-coding RNA (CSIN_LNC003538)". Lineage: Eukaryota; Viridiplantae; Streptophyta; Magnoliopsida; Sapindales; Rutaceae. The record is from RNAcentral.